Molecule: ribosomal RNA, 420 nt
Filed under: uncultured bacterium
Lineage: Bacteria
Description: bacterial SSU rRNA
Rfam family: Bacterial small subunit ribosomal RNA
Source: RNAcentral
UAAGGAAUAUUGGACAAUGGUCGCAAGACUGAUCCAGCCAUGCCGCGUGCAGGAAGACGGCCCUAUGGGUUGUAAACUGCUUUUGUACCAGAGAAAACCUAUCUACGUGUAGAUAGCUGAUAGUAUGGUAAGAAUAAGCAUCGGCUAACUUCGUGCCAGCAGCCGCGGUAAGACGAAGGAUGCAAGCGUUAUCCGGAUUCAUUGGGUUUAAAGGGUGCGUAGGCGGGCUUGUAAGUCAGUGGUGAAAUCUCUCAGCUUAACUGAGAAACUGCCAUUGAUACUGCAGGCCUAGAGUAUAGAUGACGUUGGCGGAAUAUGACAUGUAGUGGUGAAAUACUUAGAUAUGUCAUAGAACACCGAUUGCGAAGGCAGCUAACGAAACUAUAACUGACGCUGAGGCACGAAAGUGCGGGGAUCAAA